Long non-coding RNA from Megalobrama amblycephala (Wuchang bream), 1400 nucleotides. RefSeq lists it as uncharacterized. NCBI's taxonomy places the organism in Eukaryota, Metazoa, Chordata, Actinopteri, Cypriniformes, Xenocyprididae. The transcript is spliced from 4 exons. The record is from RefSeq and is a predicted model, not a curated record.
AAAAUAAAGUUAUAUAAUACGCAACCCUGUAUCACAUGAAAUACGUUCUGAGGAAACUAUUUUGCAAAUCGCAAUUACGUUACAUGCCAACAUAUAAGCAGUGCUAUUACGUUGGUCCUUAACCUAAUAAAGCCAAUUUAUUGCAGUGCUAUUACGUUUGUCCUGAACAUAAUACAUCCAAAGCAGGUUUCUUUUCACACGUAGCAGCUAAUGCUGUUCAUUUUGUUUUAAUUAUUUACUCCCUUUUUUCUGAUCGGGCUACAAAAUAUUAUUUAUGCCAGGGGAGUCAAAUGGCGGCACCCAGAUAAUUUUUAUCUGGCCCUCCAACUGGUUUUUGAUGUUUAAAACCGCUCGCAAUCUGAUAUCAAAGUCCCCGCAAAGGUUUAGCGUUUUCAGCGUGAAUGUCAACCCGUUCUCACUCCUGACCGUUCUCACGCUGAAGAAGUCUCCUUCAGAACACAUCGCGAUAUUUGGCAUCAGUUCGCGUGUGCUGGAUGUUGCUGAAAAGACAAAAAGGGCCUUUUGGAAAUGGAUGAAGGAGACAGAAAGCUGCAAAGGCAAAUAAUUGCAAUGAAGGAAAUCCUACGGUUAUGUAUGAACUCACAACAUCAUCAUCAAGUGCUGUGCUGGGCACAUUGGGUAACAAGUGUCCUCCAACGUAUCCAAUCUGUGACCACAUUCUCCACAUCUUCCCAUGGGACACCGACAUUCUUCAGGCCUUCGUUUCCAUGUCUUCCCCUGCAUUCUCCUGGUGGUGUCCACUUCAUAUCUGUCUUUGGGUGUUGUUGUUUGGUCAUGCUUAGGGUGUGUCCGGGGAGGUGCACCCUUCACUCUGUCACAGUUUUUAAAAGUCUUCACGUGGACUCCUCCUUAUGAUCUCCUUGAAACGUGCAGAACCAAUAUUGAAAAUAGUAAUUUAUCUUUUUCCAUAUUCUUGCCUUUAUCAAAGAAGCACCAGUGCUCAUCCGGAGUUUUGGUAAAAGUUCUAGUAAUGCUGCGACUAUAGUCAAAUAUGUAUUUCUGCAUGUGUGUAUAGCAGGUGUUUGUCCGAACAAUUGAAGUUAGUGAGAGUGUUCAGGAAAACCCUCUGAGAACAAUCAAUAUUUAUUUAAUUCUGUUUGGUGCUGAUAUAGAGUAUUACAGAAAUGACACAUUGACAUUCUGGACAUUAUUCUGUGAGUUUGUUACCUCUUCAUUUAGAUGGACUUGAAAAUGUCUUGCAUUUUGUUUCAUUAAACCUUUUAUUACAGUGUCACUAUAGUAAAUGUCCACCUUAACUACAUCUAUGGUAUCAUUAUAUCAGUACCUGGAUAAUGUAAAUGUAACAUACCCAUGAAUGUAUUUUAUAGAAGCAUUUUAUUGCUGAAAAUAUUUAACAUUUAUAAAAUGCAUUAACUAUU